AUAAGGGCUAGCCAACUGUUAUAUCUGUCACCCCAUUGAUCAUCAGGAUUUGCGGAACUAAGCAGGUGUCCCCUUCCUCUCUCCCUGCUUGUAUGUGCCUCUUUCAAACUGCACUCAGUUGAAGAGGACAAACUUUCCUAAUAGAGGAGGCCUACUCUUUGGUCAAGGGGAUAUGAGGAUCUACAAGCCCUCAAGGUAAGUGCUCUACUACCGAGAUAACUCUAUAGCACUCUAAAUAGUGUGCAACCAGUAUUUUCUCCAU
Mesocricetus auratus (golden hamster) is the source of this 262-nucleotide unclassified non-coding RNA. Its record names the gene 7SK. It matches the Rfam family "7SK RNA". Rfam says of the family: 7SK was discovered as an abundant small nuclear RNA in the mid-70s but a possible function has only recently been suggested. Two independent studies have found that 7SK RNA binds the CDK9/cyclin T complex (known as elongation factor P-TEFb). The record is from Ensembl. NCBI's taxonomy places the organism in Eukaryota, Metazoa, Chordata, Mammalia, Rodentia, Cricetidae.